UAUGCAAUCUUUCUAUCUGGAUUUUAAACAGAUACUCUUAAUUCUGAGCUGAUUCGCACAUCCAUUCAAAUAGGACUGAAAUGUACCUAUCUGUAAAUUAAAGGCAACUGAUCUGUCUUUAGCAUAUGACUCAAAGGAACCUUGAAACACUCUAGUUCAUCUUAAAUCUAUCUGUUUAUCUAAUUAAUAUCUGUUUCUAACAAAAGUUUACCAGUUGAUGGGGAAGCUUUAUAGCAGAAUUUCUUUUGUCAUUUUUAUAUGUAUUAUUUUGUACCAGGUACACCAAAGGCAUUGUACCUUACCUUCUGUCUCUUUCUUUUAGCUAUGUUACUAUAGAACUUGUAACAACUUAACCUGGUGAACCUAAUGAACUUGAGAGGAUAAAUUUUAUAUCAUUCAACACUUUUUAACAGUAACAACAAAUGAAAGGAAAAUGCUUUAGCUGACCAACUGCUAUUGUAGCUUGUCCCCCACCAUCUGAAAAUAAACUUCAUGACAUGGGGAAUGUCAAUCAGAUACUUUGUGGCAUCCUUGGUGGGGCUGGGUGAGGAGAGAAGAGGGUAGGGAGGAAAGGAGCGGAAGAUAAGUAGACUCAAUUACCGACUGCAUAGUGCAGUUAAUGCACUAACUUGUCUUUGACCUUGAAAGACCUGAGUUCAGUUCUUAAUUAGAUCAGAAAUUAAGAGAAUUUGGUCUCUUGCUCAUAAGAAGUAUUUGGUACACACACACGUUGCAACAUAGUUCGCUCAAAGUCUUUUCCUACAUUCCCUACCAAAACGAACCCUUCACAAUGAAGAUCCAGAUGCAGUAUUUAUCUCCUAAUUUUUUGCUUUUUUCUUAAAGCAAACUUUUGAAACUUGGGCAAAAAGUAAGGGAUGAGAUUUUUCAAAACCAUUCUUGAGUUGACCUCGGUGUGCUCCUAUUAAAGUCGAUGGAAGUUUUACCAUUGAUAUCAACAGGAACAGAAUUAAGGCCAAAAUCCCACUCUAAAGUAAUAGUUGUUAUGAAUGAGGAUUACAGAAAUUAGUGCUCCCUUUGUUUCACAGUGACGAUAAACUAGUUUGGAGCAGGAUGAAGCAAACAUCAUUUGGGGAAGUAAAAUGCUGAAUAGUCAUAGCUGAACAAGUGUAACUGAAAUCUAGUUGACAACCAGCAAAACAUGCUGCUAUUCCACAGAUUUAAAUAUACUAGCUCGUGGAGUGUUCCCGGGAGUACAUGUACAGAAAAAAACAUUACCAAUCAUGCACAUUGUAUAAACAGAGCUUUUCAAGAUAUUUGCAGAAUAUAAGGCAAAGCCUAUGAUAUGCUAUUCUUUCCAGGGACAGAUGUUAUUGUUUGCCCCUUUUUGACCUGAGUGGUUAGUCAAAGUUUAUGGCCCUGUGGGUGAUCCAGUUGGGAGCAGAAUUUGGUGAUAGUCGGGUAUUUCUUCAAUGCAGUUUUGUUUAUUUACAAAGACUGUACAAAGUGCUGUGUCUCUGAAUGCAGAAGGGAUCAAAUAACCGGAAACAGCUUCUUUUGUUCACCAAGAGCAGCCUUUUCACCCUGCACCCCGGCCCAAAAAAAAAGUCUCCAGGUUUUUUCCAGGGUCCAGCCACAGGCUUUCAGCUGCUUCUUCAGUCUGUCUCAGUCUAUUCUCAGUUUGUGUGUGUUAUCUCCUGCCAACGCGCACACAGUCACAAUACCCGGUCGAACCAUCUGCCCACUUGGUGCUAGUUUCUGAGCAGACUAUUAGGCUCUGCUUCAAGGGUGGCCCCUUAACUGUCUCUUACAAUUGACUUAAAGGGGGGACUCAUUCAGAGAUCAGUUUAGAGGUAUAAACUGAACCCAUAACAAAGUUUCACUUAACUGAUAACAUUAUCCUAACAAGCCACUGGGAAUUGAACUGGUUACACGAAGAGUCAUUAAACAGCACUGAAAUACAAGCUGGUAUUUCUUUGAAGCUACAGGAAAUGCAUUUCUCAUUCUUCCUAACUAGAUGUCAUGUAAUCAAGUAUUUGGCCACAUAUGCAUUCACACACUCUAAUUCGUUCUGUCAGAUACUCAGCUCUUAUCCGGUUAAGGCUUCCCAAAAUGCUAAAUGUUUUGUAAAGAUCGAUUUUUUUUGUAGUUGUCAAAUAAAAUUAACUCAAAGCAAAAUAUGUAUCAUUGGGGGCUCUAAUCUGAUAGAAAAGAUAAAUGCUCUUGCUGAGUAGUGUAUUGUUAAACCUUGAGACUUUGCUGGAAGGGACAGGAGAGAAGCACCAUAUGCUAUCUUCCCCUCCCACCUCUCGCUCUUUUGUUUGCUUGUAGGUUUCUAGUGAGGUCCAUUGGACAUUUGCCCAUCAAUAAAGCCAGAGGCUGGUUUUAAACAAACAAAGGGCAGGUGCAGCAGGGCACCAAUGAGACUUGCCCCAUCACCUGGACAAUUUCCAUCCUACCCCUCUCAUUUGCAUUGAAAGCUGGACAAAAAGUUAUAAAGGUGAACCUUGGACUUGCUUUGAUUCAUGUUGGUUGCAUGUGAAAGGAAGAGAGGAAGCAGGUAAUCUCUGUGAGGACGGAUCUCUGCCUACACGUUGAUCUUGCUGCAAAUCUAGGUCACUGAUCUGUAUGAGCAGCAGUAUAUUUCUUGGCUUGGGCAGCAACUGCAUUAAAGGAAUGCAAGCAGUCGUGAAGCAGAGGAGCAGAUCCGGAGCGCUGUGCGUUUAAUUUAUGAGCCACUCCACUCUAAAAGGAUGAAAACAUGGGACUUAAGUUAUCCUGCCUGAAAGGCUUUAAAUCAUGUGUGAGCAGCGGGAGCAGCCAGACGCCCAUGGUGGACAGCAAACACCUGAGAGUCCCGGCCAUUAUCAUCACACCUCCUACCCCCACGGGCACGACGCUGUCCAGAGACGCCCGGCAGCCAGGUGAAGAUCCGCUGUGCAACAACUGCUGAGCCAGAUGUGGUGAGACUAGGAGCAGCGCAGAGCGCGAGGCGAGGGCCGGAGAGCGCAUGAAAGAGCCGGCGCUGUUUCGCAGGCCCCGGGAACAGCUUGCACGGGAACCCAUCUGUGCCGUGUGUUUCCCCCUGUCCCUCCCCCUCCCUUUAACCGGGUUUAUUAAAGAUUUAUUAAUGGAUCUGCAUACACCUCACUACUGGGACUUUCACACUGUUCCGAACUCUAGCAAGCUGUGGCAUGUUAAGUAAUUAGCCAGGCAGCUCCUCUCUGGGAGCGAUGGAGCAGAUUGAUGGCUGGGGCGGGGGAGACGGCUGCACGGCUGCGUCGCAGUGAUUUGGAGGUGGCUUUUCCAGCGCAGGCCCGGACUGGAGCCUCCCCUUGGCCUUUUAAAUCACCAUAAAAGGGCUUGGCUGGGGUCGAAGCUAAAUCAGGCGGAAGGAGCGUUCUCUGCCCUGGUCACCGAGAUCCUUUCCACGGCUCCGUAAUAGACCAGGUUGUUCUCAUGGAGCCUCCAUGCCGUCAAUGAGGCAGCGGGAUAUCUGUCGCGUCCCACCCCGAUGGAAGCCGAGCAGCCCAAGUUUUGGCUGGGCUCGCCAUCCCACUGGCUGGCUGGCAGGGCGGAACCGUUUGGCUUCGAGUGCCAGAUCGCAGUGGGGAAGACGCUGAACAUUUUUAGCAGCAGGCGACUGCUGUGCUGAAACCCAUAGGCGAGGCUGGUGGCUCCCGAUCUAGGAGAGGAGCACAAGCCAGGAUGGAAGGGACAGAUCACUGCCAUCGGGUUGGAGAAGCCGGGUGCCAGCCCUCUCCUAGUGGCCGGGAAGUGAGCACUACAGUGCUUGACAUGGCAACAUCUCACCAGAGCUCCGUGUUCACGGGAAGGACCAGGAAAACCUGACCUCCGCCCCGGCCGUCACCUGAACGCAGGUUGUCACAGUCCUUCAGCUGCAUGAGCCCAGAGACGACGGGAGCGUGACAAUGUUUUCUGUACCAAGUUCAUGCUCCGGCAUUUCUAAUGUACCAAACCCAGGUGGCCAAAGGCGGGGGAAUCCCAGCUAGGUUCACGGUGGGGAGGGAGGUUUGGAUCUAUUUGAGGAGGGGCAGAUGCAAGCCUCUGAUGGGAAUACAAGCCUGCCAUCAGUUUCAAUGUGUGGCAACCUUGCUUCCUUGACCACUUCUUUCAGCAUGACCCGAGCAUGUGCCCUGCUGCUCUGUGGGGAUAGGUACCAGUAGACCAAGGAAGAGCCCAUCUGAGCUUCACAGAGUGGGGGGAGGAGAGAGCUGUUUUGUGUAGAGGUUACCUACAGGAUUUGGGCUACUGGGACCUCUCCCCAUCUGGAUCUGCUGGCCCAGGCAGGACUUUCUUUGCUGCUGGAAGUGGCUAGAUUGGGAUGCUGCCGACUGCGGUUUGUGCCUGGAGUGAUCUCCCACAAACCUCUGGCACGCCAGCCUGAUCCAGGAUCUCCGAGGGGCGGGGCCUUGGAAUCCCUCCUCUCCCAGCAGAGAGAGCGAGGCAUGGAGAGUCCCGGUGCAGCUGGGCAGCCCUUCGCGGCUGGCUUGGGCGCUGAUGACGUGUGCGUAUCCUUCGCCCUUUCCUCGCCAGCACAUGGGCGUGCAGUGUGGGGAGGGGAGCAGACACGCAGAACUGGGAGCUACCGUGGCAGAGUUGCUGUGAGAUACAGCGGGGAGAACAACCUGAGAAUGCCCCAUCCUGACAAAGGGACUGAAUUCACUAAGGGGCAGAAUCUGCUGCCUCUAGGGGUGGGGGCCAUCUAUCCCAGUCUAUGCCACCAAUGCGGGCUGGUCUCAUGCACUUGUGGGAUCCUAACCAUGUCAUGAGGGUGAAUGGGCAUGUUUUAAAGUGGACUGUCUUGGCAAUAUUUUAAAAAGGGCUGGGAGUGAUUUAUAAGGACUUGCUGUUUUGUUACAAAUAAAGAUCUCUUUGCCCCACGGC
Molecule: long non-coding RNA, 4866 nt
Organism: Trachemys scripta elegans
Lineage: Eukaryota; Metazoa; Chordata; Testudines; Emydidae
Exons: 3
Source: RefSeq, a predicted model, not a curated record